RNAcentral lists this ribosomal RNA (389 nucleotides) under Salmonella enterica subsp. enterica serovar Gatineau. RNAcentral's name for it is "partial 23S ribosomal RNA". It matches the Rfam family "Bacterial large subunit ribosomal RNA", at positions 490 to 780 of the family's 2925-position model. Lineage: Bacteria; Pseudomonadati; Pseudomonadota; Gammaproteobacteria; Enterobacterales; Enterobacteriaceae. The record is from RNAcentral.
GUGAACCAGUACCGUGAGGGAAAGGCGAAAAGAACCCCGGCGAGGGGAGUGAAAAAGAACCUGAAACCGUGUACGUACAAGCAGUGGGAGCCCCACCACUAAGCCAGUGGUGAGUUCCACAUACGCAUCCUUUGCUGAAGGUGCGGUUAACGGAGCGCAAGCGACGUUCAACCUCAAAAGAAGCAGAGGGGGCUUAGUGGUGGGGUGACUGCGUACCUUUUGUAUAAUGGGUCAGCGACUUAUAUUCUGUAGCAAGGUUAACCGUAUAGGGGAGCCGUAGGGAAACCGAGUCUUAACCGGGCGUUAAGUUGCAGGGUAUAGACCCGAAACCCGGUGAUCUAGCCAUGGGCAGGUUGAAGGUUGGGUAACACUAACUGGAGGACCGAACC